AUUGAGCACUAACCUCACCCUAAGCACUAAAACUUCUAAGUUAAAACUUAAAGAACAUGGCGGCCUUUUUUAUUCAGGGGAAUUUACCGCGUUAUCGAUGACCCACGUGUUAACCUACCCCUCUUUAAAGCUUAUAUACCGCCGUCUAGCAACUGCCCAAGGCUGUUUCUAACGCCGUCUCUACGGCCUAAGUCAGGUUAUGGUGUAGCCUAUAGAGGGGAUGUCGGCGAGUUACAAUAAAAGCUUUUUUUCGGAUUUGUUCCUGUAACGGAGCAACGAAGUUGGACUUGAAAGUAAAAGUUAAUUGGAUUAUAGUUUGAAUAGGUUUUGAAGGUGU
Molecule: ribosomal RNA, 337 nt
Filed under: Siphonaria sp. CAS IZ 189429
Lineage: Eukaryota; Metazoa; Mollusca; Gastropoda; Siphonariida; Siphonariidae
Description: partial 12S ribosomal RNA
Source: RNAcentral